AGUGAACGCUGGCGGUAGGCCUAACACAUGCAAGUCGAACGGCAGCACAGUAAGAGCUUGCUCUUACGGGUGGCGAGUGGCGGAAGGGUGCGGAAUACAUCGGAAUAUACUUUUUCGUGGGGGAUAACGUAGGGAAACUUAUGCUAAUACCGCAUACGACCUACGGGUGGAAGCAGGGGAUCUUCUGACCUUGUGCGAUUGAAUGAGCCUAUAUCGGUUGAGCUAGUUGGCGGGGUAGAGGCACACCAAGGCGACGAUGAGAAGCUGGUCCGAGGGGAAGACCAGACACACUGUAACUGAGGCACGGGCCAGACUCCGAGGCGAGGCAGCAGUGGGGAAUAUUGCACAAGGCGCGAAAGCCGAAUCCAGCCAUACCGCGUGGGUGAAGAAGCCCUUCGGCUUGUAGAGCCCUUUUGUUGUGAAAGAAAAACAGCAGGUUAAUACCCCGCUGUUCUGACGGUACCCAAAGAAUAAGCACCGGCUAACUUCGUG
This 492-nucleotide ribosomal RNA is filed under the name uncultured bacterium. Its description in RNAcentral is "partial 16S ribosomal RNA". It matches the Rfam family "Bacterial small subunit ribosomal RNA", at positions 29 to 507 of the family's 1533-position model. The record is from RNAcentral.